This 398-nucleotide ribosomal RNA is filed under the name uncultured bacterium. RNAcentral describes it as "bacterial SSU rRNA". It matches the Rfam family "Bacterial small subunit ribosomal RNA", at positions 521 to 916 of the family's 1533-position model. The record is from RNAcentral.
UAAGACGAACCGUGCGAACGUUAUUCGGAAUCACUGGGCUUAAAGCGCGUGUAGGCGGAUACGCACGUCUGUCGCUGAAAUCCCCCGGCUCAACCGGGGAACGGGCGUGGAUACGGCGUGUCUGGAGGGGCGUAGGGGGACCUGGAACUUCCGGUGGAGCGGUGAAAUGCGUUGAGAUCGGAAGGAACGCCCGUGGCGAAAGCGAGGUCCUGGACGCCUACUGACGCUGAGACGCGAAAGCCAGGGGAGCGAACGGGAUUAGAUACCCCGGUAGUCCUGGCCGUAAACGAUGGGCACUGGGUAGGGGGCUCGCCGAUGGGCUCCCUGCCGUAGGGAAACCGUGAAGUGCCCCGCCUGGGGAGUAUGGUCGCAAGGCUGAAACUCAAAUGAAUUGACGG